GACGAACGCUGGCGGCGUGCUUAACACAUGCAAGUCGAACGGAAAGGCCCUGCUUUUGUUGGGUUCUCGAGUGGCGAACGGGUGUGUAACACGUGAGUAACCUGCCCUUUACUUUGUGAUAACUUCAGGAAACUGCGGCUAAUACCGGAUAGGAGCUCCUGCUGCAUGGUGGGGGUUGGAAAGUUUCGGCGGUUGGGGAUGGACUCGCGGCUUAUCAGCUUGUUGGUGGGGUAGUUGCUUACCAAGGCUUUGACGGCUAGCCUGCCUGAGAGGGUGACCGGCGACAUUGGGACUGAGAGACGGCCCAGACUCCUACGGGAGGCAGCAGUGGGGAAUAUUGCACAAUGGGCGGAAGCCUGAUGCAGAAACGCCGCGUGCGGGAUGAAGGCCUUCGGGUUGUAAACCGCUUUCGCCUGUGACGAAGCGUGAGUGACGGUAAUGGGUAAAGAAGCACCGGCUAACUACGUG
This 468-nucleotide ribosomal RNA is filed under the name uncultured bacterium. RNAcentral describes it as "partial 16S ribosomal RNA". It matches the Rfam family "Bacterial small subunit ribosomal RNA", at positions 28 to 507 of the family's 1533-position model. The record is from RNAcentral.